This 274-nucleotide ribosomal RNA is filed under the name uncultured bacterium. RNAcentral's name for it is "partial 16S ribosomal RNA". It matches the Rfam family "Bacterial small subunit ribosomal RNA", at positions 523 to 796 of the family's 1533-position model. The record is from RNAcentral.
AUACGGAGGGUGCAAGCGUUAUUCGGAAUCACUGGGCGUAAAGGACGCGUAGGCGGGAAAGCAAGUCUGAUGUGAAAUCCUAUGGCUCAACCAUAGAACUGCAUUGGAAACUGCUUACCUAGAGUAUGGGAGGGGGAGAUGGAAUUAGUGGUGUACGGGUAAAAUCCGUAGAUAUCACUAGGAAUACCGAAAGCGAAGGCGAUCUCCUGGAACAAUACUGACGCUAAGGCGUGAAAGCGUGGGGAGCAAACGGGAUUAGAAACCCUAGUAGUCC